GUGUGUGUGUGUGUGUGUGUGUGUGUGUGUGUGUGUGUGAGUGAGUGAGUGUGUGUGUGUGUGUGUGUGUGUGUGUGUGUGUGCGUGUUUUGACCAAAGUGACACAAACAGGAAGACGAGGAGAAGCCUUCUUUUCUCCGUCAGCCCUUUUCGCUUCCCCUUUCCUCUCCGGCAGGCCUCCUCGUGGGGGAGAGGGUCGAGGAGCAGCCGUUGGAUUGUGACUCACCAUCCUCCUCCUCCCUGCUCCUCCCUGCUCCUGUGGUUUCAUCUUCUGGACUUUAGUUCCUUAUUAUUCAUGUGAGCCGGUGCAGAACUCAGCUGAUCGGCCGUACGUUACUUUCAGGCCACUGGCUCCGUGCCACCUUUCCCUCAGCCCUCCUCUCCUCUCCUCCCCUCCCCUGUGAAGCGCAGCUCUCCUGGGACGCUCCUGCACCGGCCUCCGGCUUUGUGGAUCUGCCGCCUGCAGGCGUCUGGACUCCACAGAUUUCCCAGGAUGAUGUAACGACCUCCAUCGCUCACUGACCUGUAGGCGGAACAUGUGAAAGUGACACGUGGCUGAAGUCGCUCAGACAUUAAUCACUGCCCGCCCCCCCUGCACAAUGGGCUCAUGAUGGAUGAUGAGGAUCCACAGAGACAUUCCUGAUUUGUCUAACACAAAGGUCAGAGGUCAAAUAUGACCCCUGGAUUUCAUAAUGACUGAAAUAUCAUGAUGAAACCUCAGUCAGGCUUUUGUUCCAUCCGGAAGCAGAACAAAGAUCUGAUUCCAGAUCCUGAGGCGACGUUUGUGCGAUCCAGAGUUGUCUCUGAUUAAAAAUGUUGACUUGUCAGAGGUGAUGAUGACUGUGAUGGUUCGUGUGAACGGAGAUCGGCUCCGACCUGACGGACACACGUGACCCUGCAGUGGAAAUCAACAUAUCUUCCAUGUUUGAUCCUGUUAUUAAAUAUCUGAGCUGUUCCGGUCUCCGGCUGACGCGUCAUGUGACGUAA
Scophthalmus maximus (turbot) is the source of this 987-nucleotide long non-coding RNA. RefSeq lists it as uncharacterized. Lineage: Eukaryota; Metazoa; Chordata; Actinopteri; Pleuronectiformes; Scophthalmidae. The record is from RefSeq and is a predicted model, not a curated record. The transcript is spliced from 2 exons.